CGAGUCGAGUUGUUUGGGAAUGCAGCUCAAAAUGGGUGGUAAAUUUCAUCUAAAGCUAAAUACUGGCUGGAGACCGAUAGCGCACAAGUAGAGUGAUUGAAAGAUGAAAAGCACUUUGGAAAGAGAGUCAAAAAGUACGUGAAAUUGUUGAAAGGGAAGCGCUUGCAACCAGACCUGUCCGUAGGUGAUCAGCCGCUGUUCUCAGCGGUGCACUCGCUCUGCGAUCAGGCCAGCAUCGGUUUCGGCGGCCGGAUAAAGGCCCUGGGAAUGUAGCUUCCUUCGGGGAGUCUUAUAGCCCUCGGUGCAAUGCGGCCAGCCGGGACCGAGGACCGCGCUUCGGCUAGGAUGCUGGCGUAAUGGUUGUAAGCGACCCGUCUUGAAACACGGACCAAGGAGUCUACCAUCUAUGCGAGUGUUUGGGUGUUAAACCCAUGCGCGGAAUGAAAGUGAACGGAGGUGAGAACCCUUUAGGGCGCAUCAUCGACCGAUCCAGAUGUCUUCGGAUGGAUUUGAGUAUGAGCGUAGCUGGUGGGACCCGAAAGGCAUAGGCCCCUAAACCCCCUAGAAUUUAUACCUUUAGCUAACUAAUUCGACAGAUGGUGAACUAUGCUUGAAUAGGGUGAAGCCAGAGGAAACUCUGGUGGAGGCUCGCAGCGGUUCUGACGUGCAAAUCGAUCGUCAAAUUUGAGCAUAGGGGUAAGCGUCGAGACUCCAGCCUC
Molecule: ribosomal RNA, 719 nt
Filed under: Usnea subcornuta
Lineage: Eukaryota; Fungi; Ascomycota; Lecanoromycetes; Lecanorales; Parmeliaceae
Description: eukaryotic LSU rRNA
Rfam family: Eukaryotic large subunit ribosomal RNA
Source: RNAcentral